AGCGUACACGGUGGAUGCCCUGGCAGUCAGAGGCGAUGAAGGACGUGCUAAUCUGCGAUAAGCGUCGGUGAGGUGAUAUGAACCGUUAUAACCGGCGAUUUCCGAAUGGGGAAACCCAGUGUGUUUCGACACACUAUCAUUAACUGAAUCCAUAGGUUAAUGAGGCGAACCGGGGGAACUGAAACAUCUAAGUACCCCGAGGAAAAGAAAUCAACCGAGAUUCCCCCAGUAGCGGCGAGCGAACGGGGAGGAGCCCAGAGCCUGAAUCAGUGUGUGUGUUAGUGGAAGCGUCUGGAAAGGCGCGCGAUACAGGGUGACAGCCCCGUACACAAAAAUGCACAUACUGUGAGCUCGAUGAGUAGGGCGGGACACGUGGUAUCCUGUCUGAAUAUGGGGGGACCAUCCUCCAAGGCUAAAUACUCCUGACUGACCGAUAGUGAACCAGUACCGUGAGGGAAAGGCGAAAAGAACCCCGGCGAGGGGAGUGAAAAAGAACCUGAAACCGUGUACGUACAAGCAGUGGGAGCCUCUUAAUGGGGUGACUGCGUACCUUUUGUAUAAUGGGUCAGCGACUUAUAUUCUGUAGCAAGGUUAACCGAAUAGGGGAGCCGAAGGGAAACCGAGUCUUAACUGGGCGUUAAGUUGCAGGGUAUAGACCCGAAACCCGGUGAUCUAGCCAUGGGCAGGUUGAAGGUUGGGUAACACUAACUGGAGGACCGAACCGACUAAUGUUGAAAAAUUAGCGGAUGACUUGUGGCUGGGGGUGAAAGGCCAAUCAAACCGGGAGAUAGCUGGUUCUCCCCGAAAGCUAUUUAGGUAGCGCCUCGUGAAUUCAUCUCCGGGGGUAGAGCACUGUUUCGGCAAGGGGGUCAUCCCGACUUACCAACCCGAUGCAAACUGCGAAUACCGGAGAAUGUUAUCACGGGAGACACACGGCGGGUGCUAACGUCCGUCGUGAAGAGGGAAACAACCCAGACCGCCAGCUAAGGUCCCAAAGUCAUGGUUAAGUGGGAAACGAUGUGGGAAGGCCCAGACAGCCAGGAUGUUGGCUUAGAAGCAGCCAUCAUUUAAAGAAAGCGUAAUAGCUCACUGGUCGAGUCGGCCUGCGCGGAAGAUGUAACGGGGCUAAACCAUGCACCGAAGCUGCGGCAGCGACACUAUGUGUUGUUGGGUAGGGGAGCGUUCUGUAAGCCUGUGAAGGUGUACUGUGAGGUAUGCUGGAGGUAUCAGAAGUGCGAAUGCUGACAUAAGUAACGAUAAAGCGGGUGAAAAGCCCGCUCGCCGGAAGACCAAGGGUUCCUGUCCAACGUUAAUCGGGGCAGGGUGAGUCGACCCCUAAGGCGAGGCCGAAAGGCGUAGUCGAUGGGAAACAGGUUAAUAUUCCUGUACUUGGUGUUACUGCGAAGGGGGGACGGAGAAGGCUAUGUUGGCCGGGCGACGGUUGUCCCGGUUUAAGCGUGUAGGCUGGUUUUCCAGGCAAAUCCGGAAAAUCAAGGCUGAGGCGUGAUGACGAGGCACUACGGUGCUGAAGCGACAAAUGCCCUGCUUCCAGGAAAAGCCUCUAAGCAUCAGGUAACAUCAAAUCGUACCCCAAACCGACACAGGUGGUCAGGUAGAGAAUACCAAGGCGCUUGAGAGAACUCGGGUGAAGGAACUAGGCAAAAUGGUGCCGUAACUUCGGGAGAAGGCACGCUGAUAUGUAGGUGAAGCGACUUGCUCGUGGAGCUGAAAUCAGUCGAAGAUACCAGCUGGCUGCAACUGUUUAUUAAAAACACAGCACUGUGCAAACACGAAAGUGGACGUAUACGGUGUGACGCCUGCCCGGUGCCGGAAGGUUAAUUGAUGGGGUUAGCGGUAACGCGAAGCUCUUGAUCGAAGCCCCGGUAAACGGCGGCCGUAACUAUAACGGUCCUAAGGUAGCGAAAUUCCUUGUCGGGUAAGUUCCGACCUGCACGAAUGGCGUAAUGAUGGCCAGGCUGUCUCCACCCGAGACUCAGUGAAAUUGAACUCGCUGUGAAGAUGCAGUGUACCCGCGGCAAGACGGAAAGACCCCGUGAACCUUUACUAUAGCUUGACACUGAACAUUGAGCCUUGAUGUGUAGGAUAGGUGGGAGGCUUUGAAGUGUGGACGCCAGUCUGCAUGGAGCCGACCUUGAAAUACCACCCUUUAAUGUUUGAUGUUCUAACGUGGGCCCCUUACCGGGGUUGCGGACAGUGUCUGGUGGGUAGUUUGACUGGGGCGGUCUCCUCCUAAAGAGUAACGGAGGAGCACGAAGGUUGGCUAAUCCUGGUCGGACAUCAGGAGGUUAGUGCAAUGGCAUAAGCCAGCUUGACUGCGAGCGUGACGGCGCGAGCAGGUGCGAAAGCAGGUCAUAGUGAUCCGGUGGUUCUGAAUGGAAGGGCCAUCGCUCAACGGAUAAAAGGUACUCCGGGGAUAACAGGCUGAUACCGCCCAAGAGUUCAUAUCGACGGCGGUGUUUGGCA
RNAcentral lists this ribosomal RNA (2484 nucleotides) under human gut metagenome. Its description in RNAcentral is "bacterial LSU rRNA". It matches the Rfam family "Bacterial large subunit ribosomal RNA", at positions 14 to 2523 of the family's 2925-position model. The record is from RNAcentral.